RNAcentral lists this unclassified non-coding RNA (243 nucleotides) under Hevea brasiliensis (rubber tree). The record is from RNAcentral. Lineage: Eukaryota; Viridiplantae; Streptophyta; Magnoliopsida; Malpighiales; Euphorbiaceae.
GAGUUUCAUGAUAAGAGAAAUUUAAAGGUGUGAAUUAGUUACAUUACCUUUGCUUAUUAAAGAGUUGAAACUAACAGAUGGUAAAGUAAGACAAGGUGAUUAGGAGGAUAGAGUAUUUGAAGUUUCAGAAAUCAUGUUUUGUACUAGAAGAUUAACUGGUAUCAUAUUAAAAGUAGAAGAUUCCUUAGAGAAGUUGAAGCAAUAGCCAUGGAGGUACAGAAUUGAGUGAUGAGAGGAUGGAAG